RNAcentral lists this ribosomal RNA (167 nucleotides) under uncultured bacterium. Its description in RNAcentral is "partial 16S ribosomal RNA". It matches the Rfam family "Bacterial small subunit ribosomal RNA", at positions 375 to 525 of the family's 1533-position model. The record is from RNAcentral.
GGGGCACCUNGAUCCAGCCAUUCCGCGGUGGAGUUGAAGAAGGCCCUUCGGGUUUGUAAAGCGUCCUUUCAGCCGGAACGAAANGGUNUGGNCUAAUACCCUGUGCGUAAUGACGGUACCGGNAGAAGAAGCACCGGCUAACUACGUGCCAGCAGCCCGCGGUAAUA